This 28-nucleotide non-coding RNA is filed under the name Homo sapiens (human). Lineage: Eukaryota; Metazoa; Chordata; Mammalia; Primates; Hominidae. The record is from RNAcentral.
CCUGGUGUUAGUUGGGAAAACCGAGGGC